RNAcentral lists this ribosomal RNA (216 nucleotides) under Glomeromycotina sp. RNAcentral's name for it is "partial small subunit ribosomal RNA". The stretch from base 40 to 216 matches the Rfam family "Eukaryotic small subunit ribosomal RNA", at positions 686 to 864 of the family's 1831-position model. Lineage: Eukaryota; Fungi; Glomeromycota. The record is from RNAcentral.
GGGUAAGUAGGUUGUUCGUGCCACCGGUACGUACUGGUCUCACUGAUUCCUCCUUCCUGAAGAACCGUAAUGCCAUUAAUUUGGUGUUGCGGGGAAACAGGACUGUUACUUUGAAAAAAUUAGAGUGUUUAAAGCAAGCUAACGCUUGAAUACAUUAGCAUGGAAUAAUGAAAUAGGACGAUCGAUCCUAUUUUGUUGGUUUCUAGUAUUGACGUA